AACGAACGCUGGCGGCAGGCUUAACACAUGCAAGUCGAGCGCCCCGCAAGGGGAGCGGCAGACGGGUGAGUAACGCGUGGGAAUCUACCCAACACUACGGAACAACUCCGGGAAACUGGAGCUAAUACCGUAUACGUCCUUCAGGAGAAAGAUUUAUCGGUGAUGGAUGAGCCCGCGUUGGAUUAGCUAGUUGGUUGGGUAAUGGCCCACCAAGGCGACGAUCCAUAGCUGGUCUGAGAGGAUGAUCAGCCACACUGGGACUGAGACACGGCCCAGACUCCUAUGGUAGGCAGCAGUGGGGAAUAUUGGACAAUGGGCGCAAGCCUGAUCCAGCCAUGCCGCGUGAGUGAUGAAGGCCCUAGGGUUGUAAAGCUCUUUCACCGGUGAAGAUAAUGACGGUAACCGGAGAAGAAGCCCCGGCUAACUUCGUGCCAGCCGCCGCCGUAA
This 447-nucleotide ribosomal RNA is filed under the name uncultured bacterium. RNAcentral describes it as "partial 16S ribosomal RNA". It matches the Rfam family "Bacterial small subunit ribosomal RNA", at positions 29 to 523 of the family's 1533-position model. The record is from RNAcentral.